This is a non-coding RNA of Pelobates cultripes (western spadefoot toad), 852 nucleotides long. The record is from the annotation of a GenBank genome assembly. Lineage: Eukaryota; Metazoa; Chordata; Amphibia; Anura; Pelobatidae.
CUGGGGUGUGGACACUCAUUCCUCCAGUGGCCAUAUUGGCCACAGUUGAAACAAGUGUUCCUGUCUAUUCCUCCUUGGUUACCCCUAUAACCCUGAUUUCCCUGUCUCCAUCCCCUUGCCCCUCUUUGACCACCCCUUCCGCGGGCUUUAUGUGCUCCAUCCCAUCCUUGCUCUCAGCCUGUGUAGCUGGACAUAUGUUGCAAUCCCUGAGCAUAAUAAGCAACCUUACUUUCCUAAACCUUUUCUUAAUUCAAAACAACCUGCAUUUUCCUUUUCUAUAACCUUGGUAAGAAAAUCUGAGCUAUCCAAAUUGGCCCAGUCUGAUCAAUUGUUUCACAAGCAAAGAAUACUGUGGCAACAUAUUACCAAGGCAUGACUGUAUUUUAAAGAGAUCUAUAUCAUCUCCAGACAUCAAACCUGCCUCAUCCUUCCAACACUUGUAAAAUUUCUUUACAAAAAUCAUAUUACCAAUCUCUUCCUUUGCAUCCUGCUUAUAUGCCAAAGCAGUGAAUAUAGACUGCUUAUUCUUCCAUAAUCCCAACAUUUCAGCUUCCACCUUGUUCCAAAUUUUAGCACAUCUUACUGAAGUACUAAGCUGAUAAUCACCAAUUCAUUUCAAACCAUAUAACUCAUACUCAGCAUCCAAUAUAAUAUUACACGUCAUCUCACAAAGCAAUAUCUUUGUAGAAACACAUAAUGGGUACCCAGCAGAUAUGCCAAUACAGAAAUCACAUUUAUGGGCACACAACUACACACUCUGUCUCCCUCCUAGGAAACACGGAUAGACACAAUAUAAAAGCAAUCUUAAACUAACACCUCCAAAUCUCCAACUAUUCUUGGCCAAAACGCUAG